Molecule: ribosomal RNA, 422 nt
Filed under: uncultured bacterium
Lineage: Bacteria
Description: bacterial SSU rRNA
Rfam family: Bacterial small subunit ribosomal RNA
Source: RNAcentral
UGAGGAAUAUUGGACAAUGGAUGGAAAUCUGAUCCAGCCAUGCCGUGUGCAGGAAGACGGCCCUAUGGGUUGUAAACUGCUUUUGUAUGGGAGCAAUAAGGACUACGUGUAGUUUGAUGAGAGUACCAUACGAAUAAGCAUCGGCUAACUCCGUGCCAGCAGCCGCGGUAAUACGGAGGAUGCGAGCGUUAUCCGGAUUUAUUGGGUUUAAAGGGUGCGUAGGCGGCGAUAUAAGUCAGUGGUGAAAUAUUUCGGCUUAACCGAGAGACUGCCAUUGAUACUGUGUUGCUAGAAUAUGGUUGCUGUGAGUGGAAUGUGUGGUGUAUCGGUGAAAUGCUUAGAUAUCACACAGAAUAUCGAUUGCGAAGGCAGCUCACAAAGCCAUUAUUGUCGCUGAGGCACGAAAGUGUGGGGAUCAAACA